Molecule: ribosomal RNA, 195 nt
Filed under: Triticum aestivum (bread wheat)
Lineage: Eukaryota; Viridiplantae; Streptophyta; Magnoliopsida; Poales; Poaceae
Description: partial small subunit ribosomal RNA
Source: RNAcentral
AUGGAGUAUCAACCGAUCAUCUCUGCACUCGACGUCCGCACCGAGCCCAUCACCGUCGACGCGCUCUUCUCUAUGGUAGCCAACUUCGAUCAGCGUGUUGAGAUGUUCAACGGCGCCGGUGGCUUCAAGUCAUCGGCCAACGCAGCCUCCAGAGGUCGCUCGGGCGGUGGCAAAGGCGGCUACCGAAACCAGAAG